GACGAACGCUGGCGGCGUGCCUAAUACAUGCCAGUAGAACGCUGAAGGAGGAGCUUGCUUCUCUGGAUGAGUUGCGAACGGGUGAGUAACGCGUAGGUAACCUGCCUGGUAGCGGGGGAUAACUAUUGGAAACGAUAGCUAAUACCGCAUAAUAGUAGAUGUCGCAUGACAUUUGCUUAAAAGGUGCAAUUGCAUCACUACCAGAUGGACCUGCGUUGUAUUAGCUAGUUGGUGAGGUAACGGCUCACCAAGGCAACGAUACAUAGCCGACCUGAGAGGGGGAUCGGCCACACUGGGACUGAGACACGGCCCAGACUCCUACGGGAGGCAGCAGUAGGGAAUCUUCGGCAAUGGACGGAAGUCUGACCGAGCAACGCCGCGUGAGUGAAGAAGGUUUUCGGAUCGUAAAGCUCUGUUGUAAGAGAAGAACGAGUGUGAGAGUGGAAAGUUCACACUGUGACGGUAUCUUACCAGAAAGGGACGGCUAACUACGUG
This 495-nucleotide ribosomal RNA is filed under the name uncultured bacterium. RNAcentral describes it as "partial 16S ribosomal RNA". It matches the Rfam family "Bacterial small subunit ribosomal RNA", at positions 28 to 507 of the family's 1533-position model. The record is from RNAcentral.